This 30-nucleotide non-coding RNA is filed under the name Mus musculus (house mouse). The record is from RNAcentral. Lineage: Eukaryota; Metazoa; Chordata; Mammalia; Rodentia; Muridae.
UUUGGGCUCAUCACCCAGAGAGGUCUUGGC